UGGUCUAAUGAUGACGACUAGUGUAUGAGUCAUGAAUUCAUGAGAUGAAUUCUACGUGUCCAGAAGUCUGAGGACCAA
This 78-nucleotide small nucleolar RNA is filed under the name Eschrichtius robustus (grey whale). RNAcentral's name for it is "Small nucleolar RNA SNORD113/SNORD114 family". It matches the Rfam family "Small nucleolar RNA SNORD113/SNORD114 family". Rfam says of the family: The imprinted human domain at 14q32 contains two clusters of tandemly repeated small nucleolar RNAs named 14q(I) and 14q(II) snoRNAs. These two clusters are named SNORD113 and SNORD114 respectively in the HGNC approved gene symbol nomenclature. Lineage: Eukaryota; Metazoa; Chordata; Mammalia; Artiodactyla; Eschrichtiidae. The record is from Rfam by way of RNAcentral. RNAcentral also lists the same sequence under 1 other name.